RNAcentral lists this transfer RNA (85 nucleotides) under Parcubacteria group bacterium CG10_big_fil_rev_8_21_14_0_10_35_15. RNAcentral describes it as "tRNA-Leu". It matches the Rfam family "tRNA". From Rfam's summary of the family: Transfer RNA (tRNA) molecules are approximately 80 nucleotides in length. Their secondary structure includes four short double-helical elements and three loops (D, anti-codon, and T loops). RNAcentral also lists the same sequence under 1 other name. The record is from RNAcentral.
GUCCGGGUGGUGAAAUUGGCAAACACGCUGGCUUCAGGAGCCAGUGCCGCAAGGCUUGGGAGUUCAACUCUCCCCCCGGACACCU